RNAcentral lists this ribosomal RNA (301 nucleotides) under uncultured bacterium. Its description in RNAcentral is "partial 16S ribosomal RNA". It matches the Rfam family "Bacterial small subunit ribosomal RNA", at positions 509 to 807 of the family's 1533-position model. The record is from RNAcentral.
CAGUCGCCACGGUAAUACGUAGGUGGCAAGCGUUGUCCGGUAUUAUUGGGCGUAAAGGGCUCGCAGGCGGUUUCUUAAGUCUGAUGUGAAAGCCCCCGGCUCAACCGGGGAGGGUCAUUGGAAACUGGGAAACUUGAGUGCAGAAGAGGAGAGUGGAAUUCCACGUGUAGCGGUGAAAUGCGUAGAGAUGUGGAGGAACACCAGUGGCGAAGGCGACUCUCUGGUCUGUAACUGACGCUGAGGAGCGAAAGCGUGGGGAGCGAACAGGAUUAGAUACCCCUGUAGUCCCUGUCUCUUAUAC